Molecule: long non-coding RNA, 419 nt
Filed under: Physcomitrium patens
Lineage: Eukaryota; Viridiplantae; Streptophyta; Bryopsida; Funariales; Funariaceae
Description: long non-coding RNA (PPAT_LNC000954)
Source: RNAcentral
GGAAGCUAAGACAAGAUUCAUAUAAAGGUUUAAGAUAAACUCUCUAUAGCUAGAUAUCCAAUGUAUUCUCAGAUAGCAAAUCACGUCAUGCAAUAACAUACUUGGAAAAUACAUUGUCGUAGAGAGAGAGAGUUUGCCUUGAGAAAAUACUAGGCUUCUUAGUGCUAUUGAUUGCUUUACUAUAUUGUAAUUCUAGAACAUUCAUAACACUCUAUAAAACAUAAAUCCUUUUUGAAUUCACUUGCUCUCAUAUCGAGAAAUCCCUUUCUUUUAGAAUUUGUAAAAAAAAAAACAAAACAAAAUACAAGAGAAUCAAAACUCCCUUGAAGAGUCCUUAUAUCUCUCUCCUAAGAUGGUUGCCUCUCUUUUUCCAGAUUUUCUAAUCCUAAAACCUACCUCUUAAUCCUAAAUCCUAAACU